CAGUUAAAAUACUAAAUUGAUUGAAAUAACUUCUUCAUUUAUUAUUUUCUCAGCGGCCAUGCUUCACAGCAUCAGAACCGAUCAGUACCAGCAGCGAUAUCCACCCUGACCACAUCAGUGACCUCUUCGGAAGGAAGUGCUGAUUGUCUAGGGGGAGCUGGUAGCCUACGCGCCUGGUACAGACUCGGCCCAGGCUGCCUGCUGACACUCAAACGGCAGAGUGCAAGAAGAUUCACAAGGUGCCUUGAUGAUCCGCCUGACAGCCGGUCACAGAGGAGCCUAGGACUAACAGGCACAAAAAGGACGACUUGUCCAUUUGCACUUGCCCUGGGCUGUGUGAUGAUACGGAACAAGACGGACGACUGGACGUUUCAUAAGACAGCUGAGUCCCAGUUACCUGUUCGGCCUGUGAGUUGUGUCUCAUUAGUAAUAAGUAAAGCAAUGGGCAGCUCCUGGAGAGACGGCGGGCUGCGUAAUUACUAAGACAACGUCUCUAGAAACAACCAGGAUAUAUUAGAGCAGACAUGGCCAGGUCAUCGCCCUGUCUAGAAAGGCUUUUCUGUGAGAGAUUCCAUUCCUGACUGAGAUGGGAUGGGGAGCAGCCCCAGCACCUCUCCCUGUCCGAGGAAACCCAGGACUCUUUGAAGAACUCGACAUGGUGCCCUGGAUUUGACUCCACAUUUAUAGGCAUGAGGUCUUUUUACUUUUAAAAAGGGAAACAAGAAGAGAACUAAUAUUUAGCUUUGUAUUGUUACACUAUUUUCCAAUAUUUUAUAUUUUGUAAUUUUUCUAUUGUCAUAAUUAUGCUUGUACAAAAGAAAUACACUGAAUAAGCAACAAAUAAUUGGACAAAACCUACAAGAUGUACCAUAGUCUGCAUGUUAAGAUAUAAUUCUAUAGAUCAAGUUUAACUUGAGACUAUUUCAAUCUAUAAUUAUGUGGAUAAUUCAAUACCUAUAGUCACUUUUUUGUUAUUAUAGCUAGAAAAAAGCAGCAAAUAUUGUAAAUUAAAAGUAGAAGACAUGGAUUAUCACCUCAAUUAACAAUUAAUCAACAAUAUAACCUGGGACAAUUUAUUCCUCUGAAAUUGAAUUUUUCUCAACUUGAAAAUUUAGGACUUGGACUGGGAGGAUUUUCCAGUCUAAAGUUGUUUGAUACCGAAUUUACAGCUUCACUCAGACCUGUGUCUCCCUCCUCUUAUUCACUUACUCUCCUGCAUCCUGGUAAUGAACAUUCAGGCAACAGAAGUCACAGGAAGAUAUUUCUAGUUGUAACAAAGUGCUAAUUUUUCUGAAUAGGAUGAAUUUUUGCUGUAUGAAAUCAGUGAG
RNAcentral lists this long non-coding RNA (1328 nucleotides) under Heterocephalus glaber (naked mole-rat). Its description in RNAcentral is "lncRNA (ENSHGLG00100039342.1)". The record is from RNAcentral. Lineage: Eukaryota; Metazoa; Chordata; Mammalia; Rodentia; Bathyergidae.